This 1292-nucleotide long non-coding RNA is filed under the name Homo sapiens (human). Its description in RNAcentral is "PCBP1 antisense RNA 1". The record is from RNAcentral. Lineage: Eukaryota; Metazoa; Chordata; Mammalia; Primates; Hominidae.
GAAUUGCAUUUCUCUGGUGAUUAGUGCAGUUCAGCACCUUUUCAGAUUCCUGUUGGCCAUUUGUGGAGUCUCACUCUGUAGCCCAAGCUGGAGUGGCGUGAUCUCGACUCACUGCAACCUCCGCCUCCUGGGAUCAAGUGAUUCUCGUGCCUCAGCCUCCUGAGUAGCCGGGACUACAGUUGUCCCUUGGUGUGGGAUUGCUUCCAGUACCUCUGUGUGUAACAAAAGCUGCACCAUUCAAGUCCCACAGUUGCCCUGCGAAACCUCUGUAUAUGAAAAGUUGGCCCUCCAUGUACAUGGGUUUCCCAUCCUGUCACAGAAUUUUCCACACUCCUUGACAGAGGUGCUUAACCCUUAUCCAUCAGCAUUCUCAGACAGCACCUCCGGUUAGGGACAGUAUCUGACCGUCCGACAUCCCUGCAGCCCCCAUGUGUCACACAGACUCAGCCUCAGCAGGGCCACACAUAACAAAUAGAAGCAGAGCAAGCCCUGGAACUCCUGCCUGACAGUGACACGACGACAGAAACAUCUUACCAGUCAGAGGACCAUGAGAAAUAGAUUCAAGGAGCAUUCCACGUGCAAGUGAGUCUUGGCCCCAUCUGCCUUUGGAUUUUAGCCGUGAACUGGAAGGUAUUGGAAAGAAGACCCUCAGAAAUAGCUUAAUCAAAAUCCCUGCGUCUGAACCAAGUGCCUUAUUUCUCUGUGGGCCUCAAGCUUCGCUGACAUCUGUGGAGCACACUGUCCUAACAGGAGUGCUGUCUGAUUUCCCAACGCUCUGCAAAACAAACAGCCUGGAAGGGUGGCUGGUGGAAGGUGGUUUUUAGAGAGAGACUUGUAGAUAACAGGAAAGUGAAGGCUGUAAGGAAGGUUGUAAUUAAACAGCACAUGGAAACACAAUCACAUUAUUGUCCCAUUCCAUAGGGAUAAUGAUGACCACUUCAGUGGGAAAAGGAGAGGUUUUAAGUCAUUAGGGACUAUGGGCCACCUUUUAGGAAGAUUUAUUUUCAAAGGUUAAAAUAGUGUUUUGGCAAUUCAAGUUUCAUUUUCAGAAAAUGUAAUUGAUGGGAACCUCAGUGACUCUGGAUGAAUAAGAUGCUGUUGAGUGGCUCUGACUUGGGCCAGCCGUGCUUCUCACAGGACCUUGGAGACCAAGGUCACUGUGAUCUCAGGUUCAGGGGGCAAGUCCUCUCCACACAGCCCUAGUUGGCCUCACAGCUGAAAAUGUCUCCCUUACUGUUGGACUCCUUUGUUCACCCACAUGAGUUUGUGAAUAAAUCCUUUCCAGUCUGAAA